UACGUAGGGGGCUAGCGUUGUCCGGAAUCAUUGGGCGUAAAGCGCGUGUAGGCGGUCCGGUAAGUCCGCUGUGAAAGUCGAGGGCUCAACCCUCGAAUGCCGGUGGAUACUGUCGGGCUUGAGUACGGGAGAGGCGAGUGGAAUUCCUGGUGUAGCGGUGAAAUGCGCAGAUAUCGGGAGGAACACCGAUGGCGAAGGCAGCACUCUGGGCCGGUACUGACGCUGAGGAGCGAAAGCGUGGGGAGCGAACAGG
Molecule: ribosomal RNA, 253 nt
Filed under: uncultured bacterium
Lineage: Bacteria
Description: partial 16S ribosomal RNA
Rfam family: Bacterial small subunit ribosomal RNA
Source: RNAcentral